CGAAGAAGGACGGGACUAACACCGAUAUGCUUUGGGGAGCUGUACGUAAGCGUUGAUCCAGAGAUUUCCGAAUGGGGGAACCCACUAUCUUUAGUCGGAUAGUAUCCUUACGUGAAUACAUAGCGUGAGGAAGGCAGACCCAGGGAACUGAAACAUCUAAGUACCUGGAGGAAGAGAAAGAAAAAUCGAUUUCCUGAGUAGCGGCGAGCGAAACGGAAAGAGCCCAAACCAAGAAGCUUGCUUCUUGGGGUUGUAGGACACUCUAUACGGAGUUACAAAAGAAAGUUAUAAAUGAAGCGGUCUGGAAAGGCCCGCCAAAGACGG
Molecule: ribosomal RNA, 324 nt
Filed under: Listeria monocytogenes
Lineage: Bacteria; Bacillati; Bacillota; Bacilli; Caryophanales; Listeriaceae
Description: partial 23S ribosomal RNA
Rfam family: Bacterial large subunit ribosomal RNA
Source: RNAcentral